AACGAACGCUGGCGGCAGGCUUAACACAUGCAAGUCGAACGCGUGCAGCAAUGCACGAGUGGCGCACGGGUGAGUAACGCGUGGAUAUCUGCCUUUUGGUUCGGAAUAACCCCGGGAAACUGGGGCUAAUACCGGAUGGUUCCUACGGGAUAAAGAUUUAUCGCCAAAAGAUGAGUCCGCGUCCGAUUAGCUAGUUGGUGAGGUAAUGGCUCACCAAGGCGACGAUCGGUAGCUGGUCUGAGAGGACGAUCAGCCACACUGGGACUGAGACACGGCCCAGACUCCUACGGGAGGCAGCAGUGGGGAAUAUUGGACAAUGGGGGCAACCCUGAUCCAGCCAUGCCGCGUGAGUGAUGAAGGCCUUCGGGUUGUAAAGCUCUUUUGGCGGGGACGAUGAUGACGGUACCCGCAGAAUAAGCCCCGGCUAACUUCGUGC
RNAcentral lists this ribosomal RNA (436 nucleotides) under uncultured bacterium. Its description in RNAcentral is "partial 16S ribosomal RNA". It matches the Rfam family "Bacterial small subunit ribosomal RNA", at positions 29 to 508 of the family's 1533-position model. The record is from RNAcentral.